Molecule: ribosomal RNA, 427 nt
Filed under: uncultured prokaryote
Description: bacterial SSU rRNA
Rfam family: Bacterial small subunit ribosomal RNA
Source: RNAcentral
UGGGGAAUAUUGGACAAUGGGCGCAAGCCUGAUCCAGCCAUACCGCGUGGGUGAAGAAGGCCUUCGGGUUGUAAAGCCCUUUUGUUGGGAAAGAAAUCCAGCUGGUUAAUACCCGGUUGGGAUGACGGUACCCAAAGAAUAAGCACCGGCUAACUUCGUGCCAGCAGCCGCGGUAAUACGAAGGGUGCAAGCGUUACUCGGAAUUACUGGGCGUAAAGCGUGCGUAGGUGGUCGUUUAAGUCCGUUGUGAAAGCCCUGGGCUCAACCUGGGAACUGCAGUGGAUACUGGACGACUAGAGUGUGGUAGAGGGUAGCGGAAUUCCUGGUGUAGCAGUGAAAUGCGUAGAGAUCAGGAGGAACAUCCAUGGCGAAGGCAGCUACCUGGACCAACACUGACACUGAGGCACGAAAGCGUGGGGAGCAAACA